Triplophysa rosa is the source of this 184-nucleotide long non-coding RNA. RefSeq lists it as uncharacterized. The transcript is spliced from 3 exons. Lineage: Eukaryota; Metazoa; Chordata; Actinopteri; Cypriniformes; Nemacheilidae. The record is from RefSeq and is a predicted model, not a curated record.
CGUCAACACGCUCGUGCGUGCACACAACUUUGUGCUGCCAACUUUCGGCAGAGUACAUCUGAGGUUUUUGUUUGUACCUGAAAUUUAACCACUUCAGCUCAGUUAUACUGUGUUCAGGGGAAACCUGGAGCCAGUGAACCAGUACACUGCCAAUGAUGAGGCACGGAGGGCCAUCUCCGCCAUU